CAUUCAUUUACCAAAUAAACUUUGAGCAGGUGCUGCACAUCAGGCCUGUGUGAGGCAGGAGGGAUACAAUGGUAACAAGCAUGUUUCCUGCUCUGAAGACACCCAUCCCAUUCAUUCUGAUAAAGGAGAAAGACAAAAAAGAAAACCCAUCUGGACAUAAACCCCAACUAAACAUACAAGUAGGUAAAUGGCUGCAUGUUGUUCUAUAGGCUUCAAAGGAAACCAUCAAGGGCUGACAUUUGAACUCUACCUUCAGGUGGGCAGGAAAGGCCCCCCCAUGAAGGAGAGACCCAAAGAAGAGGCCCAAAGGACAGACCCAAAGGAGACCCAAAGGAGAGACUCAAAGGAAGAGCAAGUGCUGGCUGCAAGUGUGUGGGGGAGAGCAUCUGGAUAGAGGGCAAAACCCAGCAUGAGCUCAGCAGAUUAAAGGAACUGAGAGGGGACUCCUUUGCCUUGCCCGAUGAGCAAUAAGCAUUUUCUUCUUCUUUCUUUCUUUUCAAAAUUAUUGGUUCUUUUCAGUUAUCCAUGACAGUAGAAUCCAUUUUGACAUAAUUAUACAAGCAUGGAGUAUAUAUUGUUCUAAUUCAGUUCCCAGUACCUCGCCUUCCCCUUCUCUCCCCCACCCUCAGCUUCCUUCCCUCUACUGACCUUUCUGCCAUAUACCCAUAAUUAUUUUUUAAAAAUUAAUUUUUUUUGUGGAUGUGCAUGAUGGCGAGGUUCACUGUGGUAUAUUCAUGUAUAUAGGAAAGUUAUGUCAGAUUUAUUCUGCUGUCUUUCCUUUUCCUAGUCCCACUCCCUUCCCAUUAUUUCCCUUUGUCUACUUUACUGAACUUCUAUUCUUUUUUUUUUUGUCCCCGACCCCGCUUAUUGUGGGUUAGCGUUCCAUGUUAGAGAAAACAUUUGACCUUUGGAUUUGGGGAAUUGGCUAAUUUCACUUAGCAAUAAGCAUUUUCUUUCUUUUUUAAGAAUAUUGUUUUAGUUCUAGAUAGAAACAAUAUCUUUAUUUUUAUUGGUUUUUAUGUGGUGCUGAGGAUCGAACCCAGGACCUCACACAUGUGAGGCAAACGCUCUUCCACUGAGCCACAACUCCAGCCCAGGAAUAAGCAUUUUCUAAUGGACAAUGUAAAGAGCCCAGGAAUGGAGGAAGUCAAGUAUCUUUACAGGCCUGUUCUGGAAAGAGCUUUAUUUUUAAGGAGACAGACUGGCAGUGCUUGUGUGUGCGUACAUGUAUGUGUGAAUUUAUGCCAAGACAAUCGCUAGGCAUUUGUUUCUUUCUAUAAUUAAAGAAUGUGACACGAUUACAACUUAGCUGGAGUUACUCCUUUCUUUGAAAAUAGACUGGCAGCAAGCUUUGGGACUGAGAAUAGGUAGACUUUGUGGCUGAUGACUGAAGCCCUGAGAAAAACAAGGGUACAGUUAUGUGUGACGUAUGUAGUGGCACCCACUCCUCCACAGAAAAUCUGAAUUAAGCUUCUCCAGAGACCCUCAUCAUAACUGUUCUUAGACAGUCAGCAAGAAUUUCUGAAAAAGUUUUCAGGCGGGAGGUGUGUUGCAGAAGCAGGAUGUGAUAAGAAAGGCUAACCUGAGGCCUCCAUAGAGGCUUGAAUUCCAGGCCUGGGCUCAAAGCCCAGAACAGUGAAAAAAGCUGCUUUUGUGUAGACUUCUGUAGAUGGUGAGCCUCUGAGCCCCUCCUCCUACACACUGGGUAAAAAGUUCUGAAACUUUCUAAAGUCGGGGUUCAGGGGAUUGAUCCACUGUGGUGAAAGCCUUUUCCCCCUCUGGACCU
RNAcentral lists this long non-coding RNA (1786 nucleotides) under Marmota monax (woodchuck). Lineage: Eukaryota; Metazoa; Chordata; Mammalia; Rodentia; Sciuridae. The record is from RNAcentral.